RNAcentral lists this long non-coding RNA (759 nucleotides) under Cottoperca gobio. RNAcentral describes it as "lncRNA (ENSCGOG00000002106.1)". The record is from RNAcentral. Lineage: Eukaryota; Metazoa; Chordata; Actinopteri; Perciformes; Bovichtidae.
UUUUUGGUGGGACAGUGUGUUGUCGGUGGAACAGUGUGUUGGUGGAACAGUGUAUUGUUGGUGGAACAGUGUGUUGUUGGUGUUGUUGGUGGAACAGUGUGUUGUUGGUGGGACAGUGUGUUGUUGGUGGAACAGUGUGUUGUUGGUGGAACAGUGUGUUGUUGGUGGAACCGUGUGUUGUUGGUGGGACAGUGUGUUGUUGGUGAACAGUGUGUUGUUGGUGGAACAGUGUGUUGUCGGUGGAACAGUGUGUUGUUGGUGGAACAGUGUGUGUUGGUGGAACAGGGUGUGUUGGUGGAUCAGUGUGUUGGUGGAACAGUGUGUUGUCGGUGGAACAGUGUGUUGUCGGUGGAACAGUGUGUUGUCGGUGGAACAGUGUGUUGUCAGUGGAACAGUGUGUUGUUGGUGGAACAGUGUGUGUUGGUGGAACAGUGUGUGUUGGUGGAACAGGGUGUGUUGGUGGAACAGUGUGUUGUCGGUGGAACAGUGUGUUGUUGGUGUGGUGGUCUACCAGGGGCCGUGGUGAUGGUACAGUCUGACUGCUGCAGGGAGACAGGAACUACGGUCUCCAUGAGACAACGCAGGUGAAGCAGCCUGUCACUGAAGGAGCUGCACAGUGAGGACCAAGUGUCCUGGAGGGGACGGACGGACAUGUUGUCCAAUAGAGAGGACAGCUCGUCCCCCACCACCUCCACAGUGUCCAGAGGCCUCCCCAGGACAGAGCUGGCCUUCUUCAGUCUGUUCAGUGUCUUCCUGUUA